This 23-nucleotide non-coding RNA is filed under the name Arabidopsis thaliana (thale cress). Lineage: Eukaryota; Viridiplantae; Streptophyta; Magnoliopsida; Brassicales; Brassicaceae. The record is from RNAcentral.
GGCCAUAGGUUCGAAUCCUGUCA